Long non-coding RNA from Octodon degus (degu), 2170 nucleotides. RefSeq lists it as uncharacterized. NCBI's taxonomy places the organism in Eukaryota, Metazoa, Chordata, Mammalia, Rodentia, Octodontidae. The record is from RefSeq and is a predicted model, not a curated record. The transcript is spliced from 4 exons.
UGCCUAUAAAGCUGUAACAGUGUGGCCUGUGGUCACUGAGAGAAGAAUAUAAGUUGGCCUUUGUAGUGACCAUGUGGAAGUACCAUCCUCGCUUCCAGACUCACCUCUGGAUACUACAAGGUAGCCUUACUACAGAUCUACCAUUUACUCCUGGAAACUCAAAACCAAAAAUCUUAAAGCAAGAAAGAUGCAGAGUAUUUCCUGAGGAGUCAGAAGAACUCAAUAUAUUCUGGUGGGCAAAGGAAAACAGGGUGAAUGUGUAGGCCCUUCCUUACCGCACUCGGCUCAUAAAAGAAGUGCUGAAUCAGCGAGGAGCGUGAGCGCAGGGCUGAGAGGAGAUGGCUGCUGCGUGCGACUCUCCAGGUCACUGCCUCUGUCCUACUGCUGGUGCUGUGCAACACCAGGCUGACAGGAUCUAGUGACAAUAAAAGAAAAGAAGCUUCUCUCUCUCUGAAGACUGACUUGGCUGCUGUUAGCAACUUCUUGAAACACACUGUAAGCUCCACUGAUUCUAGGAGACUCCUACAAAAAAGAACCGAACUCGGACAAAGCGCAACAAAAAACCAGGCAAAUGUUUACAAAUGUUCACAUCUGUGGAGAGCAAGGAACCCUAAGUGGUCUUACAGCCUGAUCAGGGAUAACAGAUGCUGACAUUAUCAAAUGCUGUACUAUUUUUUCCCAUGGCCUCUCCUUGCCCCGAUAUGGCCAGUAUACGAAUCUGAACUGCCGUCCAAAAGCACACUUGAGCAACUGGAUCUGCUAAAUGGCUUCCAUAUAACCAGUAAAAAUAGAAACCGGUGUUAUUGCUAUCUUCAGCACUUAAGUUCAUGCAAUGUAACACCUGUUUCACUUCUACUAGAAUAAAUGAUGGAAAGAGGUAUUGAUACAUUAAUUUUACCAGCAGCCAGACACUUAACAAGCAACAGACACAGAAAUACACAAUGCAAGUACUGUCUGCACACGGCUCAAAUUAUUGUUGACCCUCUCUCAGUUCAGAACAAUUCACUGUAUAUUUCACUUCAUCUUUAUAGACAAACUGUAAUUUACCCGACUUGCAUUUUCUCAGAAAACACUCCUUUCUUGAUACUGAAAACAGCAAAAUCACACUAAUUACAAAAACUUACACUAAUAUUUUAAAUAUUAUGUAGUAAAUUUUAAUGCUAAAAAUUCAUGCAUUAUAGUGAACCACAAGUCUAUGCACAAUUAAGCUAAUAAGAAGUAACCAGACAAUCUGUACCAAAAUGACAGAGAAUUUAGUCAAGGAAAAAGACCUAUAAAGCAGUUAAGUUACUGACUCAUUGUUAAUGACUCCACAUGAGCAACAACAAAAAAAAUAAGCUGGCAUUCAUAGUAGCUCCUCCCCACAGAAGCCCAAGCAGUAUACUGAAUACACGGGUGAUCUAUUUAUAACCUAAAGGGCAGAGGUAUUAAGGCCAUUCAUAUUCCUCUACCCACUGUCAGCCACUUGCUAUGAGCCCUCAACUGAAAUACUAAAAAAAAAAAAAAAAAGAAAGUGACAGUAGAAAUGUCUAAUAUCACUUUUCUCAACUAUUAGCUGAACAGUUUACUACCUAAAACUAAACAGAAUGUUUACUACCAAGAAGUAACAUUACUCUGAAAUGUAUUAAGGUCUACUUCUUAUAAAUGCAAGUUAUUGUUUACAUUUAAAAAUAAAAAAUGUUGAAAACAAACACAUGUACUGACAACGUGUUAAAAAGAAAAAGGCUUCUCAGUUGUUAAAGGUAGGAUAAGUGUCAUCAAGACAAAUCUUAUAUUCAGUAACUGAAGUAAUAAUAAUGAGAAUUUCUAACACUUGUAAAUGCUCUAUAAUUGUAUUUUUAUGCAUAAAAAGCACUUACUUAACUGUUCUGGAUCCAUAACCAGCAACACUACAAUGCUUUGCUAAAGCUGGUAAAAUGGAACCAAAUCGCCUCUUCAAUGGAUUUGGUCCCCUUCAACCAGCUGUAGCUAUGCAUUGAUUACUACAGGAGAGCCAGCACUUUCAUUUAUGAAUAUCAAUUACAUGUCAACUAAUUUCAACCUAUGUAAGUUAUUUAGACUGUGGCUAAAACCAAGUAACUUGUUACUGUUCUACUUGAAGAGCUAUAGUGGUUAAAAAAAUUAUAAAAAGCUUUAUGAAAAAAUGUAUGAAUGACUUCCAAAUUUCAAA